This 840-nucleotide ribosomal RNA is filed under the name uncultured bacterium. RNAcentral describes it as "bacterial SSU rRNA". It matches the Rfam family "Bacterial small subunit ribosomal RNA", at positions 61 to 914 of the family's 1533-position model. The record is from RNAcentral.
GUCGAACGAGCGAGAGAGAGCUUGCUUUCUCAAGCGAGUGGCGAACCGGUGAGUAACGCGUGAGGAACCUGCCUCAAAGAGGGGGACAACAGUUGGAAACGACUGCUAAUACCGCAUAAGCCCACGACUCGGCAUCGGGUAGAGGGAAAAGGAGCAAUCCGCUUUGAGAUGGCCUCGCGUCCGAUUAGCUAGUUGGUGAGGUAAUGGCCCACCAAGGCGACGAUCGGUAGCCGGACUGAGAGGUUGAACGGCCACAUUGGGACUGAGACACGGCCCAGACUCCUACGGGAGGCAGCAGUGGGGAAUAUUGCACAAUGGGGGAAACCCUGAUGCAGCGACGCCGCGUGGAGGAAGAAGGUCUUCGGAUUGUAAACUCCUGUUGUUGAGGAAGAUAAUGACGGUACUCAACAAGGAAGUGACGGCUAACUACGUGCCAGCAGCCGCGGUAAAACGUAGGUCACAAGCGUUGUCCGGAAUUACUGGGUGUAAAGGGAGCGCAGGCGGGAAGACAAGUCGGAAGUGAAAUCCAUGGGCUCAACCCAUGAACUACUUUCAAAACUGUUUUUCUUGAGUAGUGCAGAGGUAGGCGGAAUUCCCGGUGUAGCGGUGGAAUGCGUAGAUAUCGGGAGGAACACCAGUGGCGAAGGCGGCCUACUGGGCACCAACUGACGCUGAGGCUCGAAAGUGUGGGUAGCAAACAGGAUUAGAUACCCUGGUAGUCCACACUGUAAACGAUGAUUACUAGGUGUUGGAGGAUUGACCCCUUCAGUGCCGCAGUUAACACAAUAAGUAAUCCACCUGGGGAGUACGACCGCAAGGUUUGAACUCGAAGGAAUUGAC